RNAcentral lists this ribosomal RNA (254 nucleotides) under uncultured bacterium. RNAcentral's name for it is "partial 16S ribosomal RNA". It matches the Rfam family "Bacterial small subunit ribosomal RNA", at positions 524 to 776 of the family's 1533-position model. The record is from RNAcentral.
UACGUAGGGAGCGAGCGUUGUCCGGAUUCAUUGGGCGUAAAGAGCUCGUAGGCGGCUUGGCAAGUCGGGUAUGAAAACUCCAGGCUCAACCUGGAGACGCCACCCGAUACUGCCAUGGCUAGAGUCCGGUAGGGGACCACGGAAUUCCUGGUGUAGCGGUGAAAUGCGCAGAUAUCAGGAGGAACACCGGUGGCGAAGGCGGUGGUCUGGGCCGGAACUGACGCUGAGGAGCGAAAGCGUGGGGAGCGAACAGG